This 135-nucleotide ribosomal RNA is filed under the name uncultured bacterium. RNAcentral describes it as "partial 16S ribosomal RNA". It matches the Rfam family "Bacterial small subunit ribosomal RNA", at positions 355 to 507 of the family's 1533-position model. The record is from RNAcentral.
UAAGGGAUAUUGCGCAAUGGGCGAAAGCCUGACGCAGCAACGCCGCGUGGAGGAAGAAGGCUUCGGGUCGUAAACUCGUUUUGACGCUGAGGAAGACUGACCGUAGGCGUCGAAUAAGUCACAGCUAACUACGUG